This 335-nucleotide unclassified non-coding RNA is filed under the name soil metagenome. RNAcentral describes it as "partial contains 5.8S ribosomal RNA, internal transcribed spacer 2, and large subunit ribosomal RNA". The stretch from base 1 to 120 matches the Rfam family "5.8S ribosomal RNA", at positions 35 to 154 of the family's 154-position model. The record is from RNAcentral.
GAUGAAGAACGUAGCGAAAUGCGAUAAGUAAUGUGAAUUGCAGAAUUCAGUGAAUCAUCGAAUCUUUGAACGCACAUUGCGCCCGCCAGUAUUCUGGCGGGCAUGCCUGUUCGAGCGUCAUUUCAACCAUCAAGCCCCCGGCUUGUGUUGGGGACCUGCGGCUGCCGCAGGCCCUGAAAACCAGUGGCGGGCUCGCUAGUCACUCCGAGCGUAGUAAUACAUCUCGCUCAGGGCGUGCUGCGGGUUCCGGCCGUUAAAAAAGCCUUAUUUACCCAAGGUUGACCUCGGAUCAGGUAGGAAGACCCGCUGAACUUAAGCAUAUCAAUAAGCGAGGA